AAAAGAAUGAGGAAUAGAGGACAUUUCAUUCACGUUGGAAACAGUCUCCCCAUCCCAACCCUAAUGGAGUGUUACAGACAGUGAAGCCAUUCAGUAAAGGUUUAGUAAACUGAAAAACAAAAAAUGCAAAAAAAAAAAAAACGAAACAAAGUCCUUGGUUUUAGGGAUUUUAAGUGAGGACGGGAAAUGGCAUUUGCUACCUGAAUCUUUUUAUCUUUUUCAGGCAGAGGAGCUGAGCGGCAAUUGGAGGAGACAGUAUGAGCCUCCGAAGAUUAGGGAAGGAAAGUGCAGUUGAAGAAAACUUCCUUUGGUUCAAUGCAAAACUAACUGAAUGAAUCGCAUGCUGAAAUAUCACAUGACAUAUGGAAACGGUGAAUGGAGGCUGUGGAUGAAAACAAACCAGAGGAGGAUGGUUCUUCCUCCGACCUGGGGGCCAGACUGAGAAGCUGGAGAAAAGAAACAGAGUGUGUGCAUGCCUGCUGUCCCAACUGGAAAAAUUUCGAUAAAUAUUUUUUUUCUGCCCUUUCAUUGUUUUCUUGUCUUUUUACAUCUUGGAGCAGUGAUUCUAGUUGGAUUUGGAUUUAGCUGAGCUUUUGGUAAGAUACCCACCACUACUCCUACUUCCACUUUCCCCCAAUCUAGGUUCCUGGGAAUUUUAGAAAUAUCUACAAAUUUGCUUAAUUGCCAGCCAGUUUCUCCAUUUCUAGGCAACUGGCUUCCCUUAGCUGUAAUGUUAGAGUCUGACCUAUGACAUCAGGGUCUUGUUUAUCUGAUGACUACCAAAUGUCAAGGGCGCCGUCAGCCUGCAUUGCAUGACUCUAAAACUGGGUGUUAGAUACCUGGCCUUGGAGUGGGCAGCUUUUCAGCCCUGAUCCAAACGGGUGGAAGAGAACAAGUUGAGAAGGGAGCUUGAGAUGUGACAGUAGGCAGCAACCGCUGUGUACCAAGCAGCCGGCUGAGCUUUACCUUGUGCUAUGCCCACAGGCAUUCAAAGAGCCAAUUUUGUCAGUCUUGCUUUUACCAAUAAAGUUCACGGAGAAAUGUAAUAGCUCAACAGUCUUAAGCCAGUACAUGGCAAAGCUGGCAUUGCAAAUCAAGGCUGCCUGCCUCUGAGGCUUUACUUAUCUACAGAGCCCCAUUCUUACUCCCAAUAGAAACUUCUAGAAAGAUACUUUGAUGUUUGCUCUUUUAAACUUAUCUCUCAUCUAAUCCCUUGUCACAGAGAAUACCCCCACAGAG
RNAcentral lists this long non-coding RNA (1239 nucleotides) under Aotus nancymaae (Ma's night monkey). RNAcentral describes it as "lncRNA (ENSANAG00000038960.1)". Lineage: Eukaryota; Metazoa; Chordata; Mammalia; Primates; Aotidae. The record is from RNAcentral.